RNAcentral lists this long non-coding RNA (1312 nucleotides) under Medicago truncatula (barrel medic). RNAcentral's name for it is "lncRNA gene3309". The record is from RNAcentral. Lineage: Eukaryota; Viridiplantae; Streptophyta; Magnoliopsida; Fabales; Fabaceae.
UUUUUCUUAUACAACAAAAAGAAAAGAGAAAUGCUAGUAUACAAGUGUAUAUGACCACUUCAUUCCACUAGAGCACUAACUAGUAACUAUUAACCACUACCAUCUUCUUCACAAAGCAAAAAAUGCAACAAAGGUCAAAGAGACAAGACCCACAAAUAGACACAUGAUAUCCAUUCUCCUUUCUACCCUCUUCUUUCUUUCCUCCCUCUCUUUUUUCUUCUUCACAAAUUCCCUAUAACCUUCUCCCUCCCCAACUCCCUUCCAUUUCCUCCCACCUUCCAACGCUUUCUGUAAAAUUACCAAACUAUCCCUUCCAUUUACAUGUUUCCCAUCCAUAUCCUCCACUUGCAAACUAACCUCUCUAACUUCCAUACUCUCUUCAGCCAACAUCACCACCACACUACACAACGCCACCUCCAACGCCGUCGCUGUUUCUCCGUAAACCACCGUUGUGAACCGCGCCUUCACCUCUCCACUCAGCCAGUGCCGCUGCACAGCCACCGCCUUCCUGCUUGACACGUUCACCGCCCGAUGACUUGCCGGAUCAAUCAAUAUCCAGCUCAGUCUCAGCUCCUCCCCAAGAUCAUGACAUGUGACAUUAUUUUCAUCACCAACAACUGGAUAUUUUAUCACAUCCUUUGUAUCAAGUAGGUCAACACGAAACGGAGAGCACCGGAACCACCCAGUCACAGUCUCAGUUUCAACUACUUUAGAAAACACUAAACCCUCACGGUGGAAAAUAUCAACGGCUGAGAUUAAACUUAGGGUUUCGUCAUGAUUUGUUAAAGUCAUAUCCCUUUGAUGAUGAGAGGAGAAAGAGUCUGCAAAGAAAGAGCGGAAGCCAUUUGGGAAGUUUGAGAUUACUUGCUGAACACGUUCAGUGUUGGUGGAAGGCCAAGUGGAGUGGCACAUGUUAGCCCAUAGAUGUUCAUUGGUACAUAGAGAGUUGAAUUGGGAGCAGGUGCUUGCGGCGGAAGCAAGAGCAGGACCGUCGAGACGGGUGAGUAUGUGUGUUUGGAUUAUGUCGGAGUGGACGGCGGCGAUUGUGGUUGUUUCCUCCGCCUCUGACUCGCCGGAAAUGCAGAUCAUAGUAGCGUAUAAAUAGAUAUAUUUUGUAGGGUUUUAGCUUUGUGCACUACUUAUAUGUGUACUUGUGAAAUGAGAAAUGAUGGAUACUUAAUACUUAUAGUGUAUAGUGUGAGUUAAGGUGCAAGUUGAAAUGAAUGAUUAUUUCAUUUUCAUUUUCUUCAAUCCACUAUCUAGCACUUGAUUAAUGGUCCCACUUGGAUCAUGGUUGACGCACGAUUUUGAC